GGAUGUGAGAGUGAUUUGGAUGUGGUAUCUGUCGCUCCACUGAUGCCAAGGUUGACUUGACUGAUGUGUCUGGAAAGCUGGUGUCCCCUUCCCUUCUCACUGCUCCCUGUGAGUCCCCUCUGAAGUUGCUCAGUUGAAGAAGACAACCACUCCCAGUAGAAGAGGGCCAUUUCCUUUCCUAGGUCAAGGGUAUAUGAGCAGCUGUACUGCCCUGCUAGAACCUCCAAACAACCUCUCAAGAAUAGAAAAAAUAACCUACAUGAAAAUAAAGACAUUAAUAGAUAAAAGAUUGAAAAGUAAAUUGAGAUCACAUUUUUCAUC
RNAcentral lists this small nuclear RNA (321 nucleotides) under Octodon degus (degu). RNAcentral's name for it is "7SK RNA (ENSODEG00000023678.1)". It matches the Rfam family "7SK RNA". From Rfam's summary of the family: 7SK was discovered as an abundant small nuclear RNA in the mid-70s but a possible function has only recently been suggested. Two independent studies have found that 7SK RNA binds the CDK9/cyclin T complex (known as elongation factor P-TEFb). The record is from Rfam by way of RNAcentral. Lineage: Eukaryota; Metazoa; Chordata; Mammalia; Rodentia; Octodontidae.